This 200-nucleotide ribosomal RNA is filed under the name uncultured bacterium. Its description in RNAcentral is "partial 16S ribosomal RNA". It matches the Rfam family "Bacterial small subunit ribosomal RNA", at positions 1302 to 1500 of the family's 1533-position model. The record is from RNAcentral.
AGUCUGCAACUCGACUGCAUGAAGCCGGAAUCGCUAGUAAUCGCGGAUCAGAAUGCCGCGGUGAAUACGUUCCCGGGUCUUGUACACACCGCCCGUCACACCAUGGGAGUCGGAAAUGCCCGAAGCCGGUGGCCUAACCGAUAAGGGAGGAGCCGUCGAAGGCAGGUCUGAUGACUGGGGUGAAGUCGUAACAAGGUAGC